AAAGAAACGUCCACAGCUCAGCAAGCCAGCACCUGGACUGUAUAACGAAAAGACACGGAAUUCCACAGUUUCGCAAGUACUCAGAUCCCAAUCUGAAGGGGAAGUACUGUCCUCACCUUCAAACUAUUUAAAAACAGAUCAAGUUUGCUGAGAUUUUAACAGGAAAUUCUUACAAGAUAGUGCCCUUCUGAAAUUGCCCUGAUCUUCAGGAAUAUGAAGGAAGCAUAUAUAAGUACAACAAAAAUACAUUUUAGUCAAAGGCUGAAUGGCAGAGUAUUUAAAUCAAAAUUUAACCACGACAUGAAGGACCAUGAUUUUGAAAUAGCUCCUUAAAAGACUGAUGAAGCCUUUAAUCAUUUGUCUAGAUGGAGGAGGUAAAUGGGCCUGCCGCAGGGUCUCUAGGUCAUGCCAUCAUCUGCUAGCUCCAGUGUUCAGAGCUAAAUGAGGAACGUUCAUAAUUGAUAGCACAAGUGUAAAUAAUUCCACAUACUACUGGCUUCCCAAAACCUCUUAAUUAUAGAUAUGGAGGUUUGUUGCAUCUUAUUAAAUGUUUAAAUAACUAUUAAGAUUAUUUAUGUCCCAUGUAUGAUAAUAAAAUAACACAAUUAAAUGUGUGUUUAAAUAUUACCAUAAAACUUUAAGCCCAUUAACAUACAUAAGGGAAUAUAUUAUAUAAAAAUAUAUAUCAUGACAUGUAUACUUCAAAUAAAUAGGAUACAUAAAUAAAAUUAUGACGUACA
This 740-nucleotide long non-coding RNA is filed under the name Pan troglodytes (chimpanzee). RNAcentral describes it as "long non-coding RNA NONPTRT001752". The record is from RNAcentral. Lineage: Eukaryota; Metazoa; Chordata; Mammalia; Primates; Hominidae.